GGAAUAUUUUCUAUAAAUUGAUCAAAUAAUUUUUAUUUAUUACAUAGAGAAGAGAUAAAACAUGGCUUUAAUUCACAAGUUCAGUUAUGCUUUAGUUAUUUUUAUUUACUUAUUUUUUAUUGAAAUCAACGGCAUUCAAUUUCAAUCAGCUCAAUUUCCCUGCAAUGAUGUGAGUGAUUGUCCAAGAGAUUUGUGUAUCCGCAAUAGUCUAACUAUAAAGUGUGUUAAUUAUACUUGUGAGUGUGUGUGAAGUUAACAAUUAGGUUGAAAAAUAAGUCUAUAUUACUUCUAAGCAUAUACUUUUAUUUGUAUGCUAUGUUAAAAAAAAUAUAUAUUUACUUAUAAACUAUAUAUUUUAAUUUGUA
Long non-coding RNA from Vicia villosa (hairy vetch), 365 nucleotides. RefSeq lists it as uncharacterized. NCBI's taxonomy places the organism in Eukaryota, Viridiplantae, Streptophyta, Magnoliopsida, Fabales, Fabaceae. The record is from RefSeq and is a predicted model, not a curated record. The transcript is spliced from 2 exons.